AGAGUUUGAUCAUGGCUCAGGACGAACGCUGGCGGCGCGCCUAACACAUGCAAGUCGAACGAGAGAGAAGGAGCUUGCUUCUUCGAUCGAGUGGCGAACGGGUGAGUAACGCGUGAGGAACCUGCCUCAAAGAGGGGGACGAACAGUUGGAAACGACUGCUAAUACCGCAUAAGCCCACGGGUCGGCAUCGAUCUGAGGGAAAAGGAGCAAUCCGCUUUGAGAUGGCCUCGCGUCCGAUUAGCUAGUUAGUGAGGUAACGGCCCACCAAGGCGACGAUCGGUAGCCGGACUGAGAGGUUGAACGGCCACAUUGGGACUGAGACACGGCCCAGACUCCUACGGGAGGCAGCA
RNAcentral lists this ribosomal RNA (351 nucleotides) under uncultured bacterium. Its description in RNAcentral is "bacterial SSU rRNA". It matches the Rfam family "Bacterial small subunit ribosomal RNA", at positions 8 to 353 of the family's 1533-position model. The record is from RNAcentral.